This is a long non-coding RNA of Oreochromis aureus, 1461 nucleotides long. RefSeq lists it as uncharacterized. Lineage: Eukaryota; Metazoa; Chordata; Actinopteri; Cichliformes; Cichlidae. The transcript is spliced from 3 exons. The record is from RefSeq and is a predicted model, not a curated record.
UGCUGAGCACAAAUCUGUUUGACUCGUUGUUUUUUUGUUAAAGUCCUGAUCAGCUGAUCAGCCUGCUGCAGCUCUUAUCUUCACAGUCACAUUUUAUUUGCGUCUGCCACGCCCUCUUUAAAACCCACUGACGGCGGCGGCUGGCAAGCAGCUGUGUUAAUAAUUCUCACACCUUCAGACUUUCAGGUUCUUGGACGCUCUGUUAGUGCAGCUGACCUCGCAGCAGCUGGGAAUGAGCAGGACGGCAUUUUGGUUAAAAAAACGAGUGAAAUCAAAGAAGUGACGUCUGAGUUUGUGUGUGCAGUUCUCAGUCACCCAGGUCACGGUAGCAUGAAGAGCGUGGAAAAGAAGCCCACUGGGCUUUAAGUUUGAAGGCGGUGAGGAACAAACGUGGGAAAUAAUCCGACCCCGGCCUGAAAACAUCUGGAUCAUCGCUGAAACUAAAUGAAAACAAUAAAAACAGUCAAACCAAAGUCUAAAGGCGUGACUUGCUGUGUAAAACAGGAUGUGGGGUGGGGGUAGUUUGGAAAGGAGCCACAUAUCCCGACCCCCACCCUUCCACCAAUCCACCCCCAGCAUGCCCGACAUUCUGCCUCGCGCUUGUGCGGCGGGCAGAAAUAGACAGCGGUGGGAGGGAAACUCGAGCUGAAGUGCGAGGACUUGGGCGGAGCAGCCGUGUUUUCCCUGCCUGUGAGCUACGAGCUGAACAGCAGCUAUGAUGGAGCUGCAGAUUAAGUGUGUGAUGAAGAAUCCAGUUAUCCUGAAGUCACGGCGUGGUAUAAAACGUGGUAUAAAAAGAUUUCUUCUUCUUGUGCAGCUUUCCAGCUGACCCGUCCUCUUACAGCUCCCCCGUCGGGUCCCGGCAUUCCCCUGAAAUAGGAGAGCAGCUGUGUGGGUCAGCCUCUCCUGACACCCACCAUGACACCACAAACCACACCCGGCUUCCUUAAAUAUCGUGAUACCUGCCGUGCUUCCUUUGUGUGUGGUGACGCGGUCACAGCAGUCUGGCACAUCUGGUCUGCUCAGUCCUCUUAAAGGCGCUCACAUCUGCUUUUACACAUUCUAAUAAACUGGAACAUGCCCGUGUGGCAGUGCUUGGUCUGGGAGCUGAGUCUGUUCUUUGGGGGCUGCCAUCGCAUAUGUGCACCACCACCACCACCACAACAACAACAACGACAACGACGACAACGAAAGUUUCAUUAAAUGUUAAUGACAUGAGAUUAAAACUCAAAGCUUUUAUAAAAUCUAAAGCCAGGUCAUUUUAGUCCCUUGGUAGCUGGUUGCUAGGUAACAUGACAUCAUGAUAUCUGAUAUAGAUCAGAUCCUUCAGAGGUCUAAGAUGUACCUGUGUGCACGGUGUGGUUGGUUGACCGAACAGAGGUUUGGGGAAUUAUCGUAGAGCUGCGUCAACACAGGAAGUGACCACAGAAAGUCGAUGAUGUCAGACAACUGUGGGUGGAA